AUGGGCACGACCGUGGACACGGCCAUGGGCGCGGCCGAGGUCAUGGUCAUGAUCAUUAUAGUUCCCGAAAUUGAGGAAGUUAUUCAAACAAGAAAAACACAUCAUACCACUAAUAGUGGAAUAAUAAUGAAAGAAAAGGAAAAAGAAAGUUGUGCAUAAUUCCCAAAAGAAAGAUGAUGAUGCUUGCUACAAGUGUGGAAUAAAAGGACACUGGUCACGUACAUAUCGUAUGCCAAAACAUCUUGUUAAUCUAUAUCAAGAAUCAAUUAAGGGAAAGGGAAAAGAGAAACAAACAAACUAUACUGAUUUCGAAUAACAUUUUUGGUGAUUUCAAUGAGCCGAUAGACAUCACCCAUUUAGAGGUUUCUAAUUUCUUUAUAGAAACAAGUGGAAACAUUGAUCGCACAAUCAAUGAAGGAAAUGCCAAUGAUGAUGACAAGGCUAACAAUGAUGGCAUUGAUGACAUGAAUGUUGAUUAA
This 479-nucleotide long non-coding RNA is filed under the name Prunus dulcis (almond). Its description in RNAcentral is "sRNA ncRNA". Lineage: Eukaryota; Viridiplantae; Streptophyta; Magnoliopsida; Rosales; Rosaceae. The record is from RNAcentral.